RNAcentral lists this unclassified non-coding RNA (334 nucleotides) under soil metagenome. Its description in RNAcentral is "partial contains 5.8S ribosomal RNA, internal transcribed spacer 2, and large subunit ribosomal RNA". The stretch from base 1 to 120 matches the Rfam family "5.8S ribosomal RNA", at positions 35 to 154 of the family's 154-position model. The record is from RNAcentral.
GAUGAAGAACGGAGCGAAAUGCGAUAAGUAGUGUGAAUUGCAGAAUUCAGUGAAUCAUCGAAUCUUUGAACGCACAUUGCGCCCUUUGGUAUUCCUUAGGGCAUGCCUGUUCGAGCGUCAUUUAAACCUUCAAGCUCAGCUUGGUGUUGGGUGACUGUCCGCUUCACCGCGGACUCGCCUCAAAAUUAUUGGCGGCCGGUACAUUGGCUCUCGAGCGCAGCAGAAACGCGUAACUCGAGGUCCUCGUGCUGGCUCCCAGAAGCUAUCUUCACAAUUUUGACCUCGGAUCAGGUAGGGAUACCCGCUGAACUUAAGCAUAUCAAUAAGCGGAGGA